AGUGUAAGCAGUGGUUGCGGCAUCAUCGCGAGCCCUGGUCGGAAAUAAUAGAAAACUGGCGGGUUACACACAGUCUGCGUCGCAGAGACCUAAAGUCGUGUAAAACCGCUGAGUUAUUCUGUGAGUGGCCCCUCCUAAAGCAUAGUCUUGCAAACCAGCUGGUAAGUUUGAUUUCAUUUUUCAUAUUUUUUGUAAGAUAUAGUUUCUCUUUAUUAUUAUUUAUUUUUAUAUCGGUGUUAUUAAAUGAUUGUAAUUGUCAUUCUGAAUAUUUUCAGCUCGAUAUUGAUUUCGAUAUUCUAUUUCCUGGGAAGAAAUAUUUGCUGCUGGAGAACUGGGAUCUGCGAGUGGAAAAGCUUCUUCCCAUAUUAGACAAGGAAAUAAAGGAUGCUACGUGUCGCGAGUAUCUGGAAAGAAUCAAAGAGAAGGACAUCUCACAAGAUGAGAGAGAUCUAUUAAUUCUGAGAGCGGUCCAUGGUCUUAUUAAGCCAACACACUACCCCAAGAAAGGCAACAAGCGGUUCAAACCUACGAUAGUGGACUCCCAGAAGAGUUUGUGCCUUGAACUCACGGGAUUUGAUAAACUAAACGAUUCCUUGAAAAAACUUUAUGAAUCCGCUAAAGAAAGAGGUGAAACAGUCCAGCCAUUCAUUCUGACAGAUCAAUCAAUGAAGGAAUUUGUAACUUAUUACGAUGAUCAUUACUUCAAGAGCAGUUCCUUCAAAGCAGCUCUUGAUUUAACUUUUAAGAUCUUCUAUGUCUUUGACACUCAAUAUCCGAUUCAAUGUAACUCUGUAUGGAAAUUCAUUCAGUACUAUUUCUACAAUAUCACUGAUGAUAUUGAGAAUUCUAUGAUUACGAGCCUAAUAUCGCGAAUUAAUUUUGAAAAGUAAAAUGAAAAGAAAAAAACUUAUAACGUACUUUUAAAAAAGAUUAAUUUUCCUAAUAUGUACAAUUAAGUUAUUAGAUUUAAAUGUAAAAAGAAUUAGUAUAAACAAUUAAGUGGGGAGCCUACAUUAAAAAGACAAAACUUAGCUGUUUUUUUUUACCUUUUUUAAGGAUAACAUUUAAAAGGAUAUAAAUUCUUAUGCAUUCAGUGGGUGCCAAUAGUUUGUUGCCUAAUGUUUUAUUAAGAAAUCAAGUGGAAAAAUGAUAGAAAAAAUUACUUUUCCAAAUUUUUGUUUUUGAAAAUAAGGUCCCUGUAAUCCGUAGACCUUCUUUAUAUAUUAAAACAUAAAUAAAUAAUUUUAUUUCAUAUAAAAAAAUAAUUGUUUUCCAAAAGCGGCCAUUUUUUAUACGUCCAAAGUUUGUUACCUCAUUGCCUCAUUUAAAAAAAUAACUCAAAAUCGUCAAAACAUGCAACUAACUUAAGGCAAACCGGUUAUAUUUUGAGUUUGCCGAUUAUUAACUCAGAGGGUUAAUAAUCGCAUUAUGAGUAUCUCUGAUAGCAACCGCAUGAUGUCUGCGCCUAAAAUUCAAAAUCAAUGGGUCAGAUAGAAUACAGGCUUCAAAAUCAACGAAAGUGGUAAGAAUGAUUACAUGGUUUGCAAAAUUCCAUUGGUAAACAAAACCAAUCUGGGUAGGGUGGAGUAACCACUUAUCGCCACUUUUAGGAAAAACUGAAAUAAAUUUAAUUAUAAAUUUUAAAACCCUUAUUAUGAAAUAACUUAAAUUUGACACAAAGUUACUUUGAUAUGUUUUCUAUUGAUAUAUCAAACUAAUACUCCCUCGAUUUAACGGUGGAUUACUUAAAAAUAUAUAUUUUUAUUAAAAAUUCAAAAAUAACCACUUCUCGCCACCUACUUGAAAAGGUUCAAACUCAAUUAUUUUGGACAAUAUUAUUAAAAAAUAUAUUCAGCGUUGCUUUUUCUUCCUGAUAUCCUUUUUAUUACUCAUAUUAUAUAAUUUUUCUUCGAUUUAACUAUAGGUGGCGAGAAGUGGUGACACCACCCUAAAAGUUUGUAGACUUACUUAGAACAUGCAAAAAAAAGCAAAAAUACAACCUCUCUUGGAAGCUAGUGAGCAACUAUACUUUCGAUUGAUUAUGGAAACAUUUGAAACCUGGGUUCCUUCUGAAACUAACUAGCUCUGAAUUUUUUGCCCGACAUCAUGAGAAUACUGAUACUAUCAGAGAUACUUGUACUAUGGUUAUCAACCCUCUGAGUCGAAUCCAUGAGACUACCAGUAGCUUCUUAUGAAUAUACUUGUACCUCUUCACCAUAAAUUUUGAAUAUAUUAUAUAUACACUGACGUGAUUUUCCAUAAAAUUAAACAAUUAACAACGCAGAAUCUUUCUGGUAGCAUUUCUGAAUCAUUUAAGAUCUUUUAACUUUUUAUAAUUUGCAAUUUUUUACCAAAAUUAUAAAUUACAAAAAAUCAUUUUUUUUUGUUAUUUAUCAUGAUUUUUAUAUAUGUAUAUUUACCAUUGACAACUUUAGAAAUGUAACAAACCCACUAUUUAGCUCUUAAAUUACAUAAACUCAAAAUAUGACAGGUUUGCAUUGAGUUAGUUGCAUGUUUUGACCAUUUUGAUUUACUUUUUCAAAUGAGGCAACAAACUUUUGACUGAUCGAAAAUGAUCAACUUUUGGAAAAUAAUUACCAUUUUUUAUAUGAAAUAGAAUUGUUUAUUUUUUUUAAUAUAUAAUCAAAUCUACGGAUUAGACCUUUAAAAAAAAAUUUGGAAAGGUAAUUUUGUUUUUUAUAAUUUUUUCCACUUGGUUUCUCGAAAAUACCUUCGGCACUCACUGUCUUUAAAGCACUUAACUUUUUUUUGGACAAAAAUAUUGCUAUUUCUUCUCUUAUUAGAAUUAAAAAUAAAAAUGACAAGUGGAGAGAAAAGUGUUUCAAAAUUUUAAAUAUUUGCUCCAGCGCUUGGAAAGCUGCUCAGCACUCCUUUACAUACGCCUCUAUGUCUUGAAAAAUACUUAGAAUUUUCUUCUGCAAUCUUAAGGUAUAAUCUUGGAGAAUUUGUUUGUAUAUUUAUGCAAGUUUUGAUCUUGUAAUUGAGGC
This is a long non-coding RNA of Phlebotomus papatasi, 3008 nucleotides long. RefSeq lists it as uncharacterized. The transcript is spliced from 2 exons. The record is from RefSeq and is a predicted model, not a curated record. NCBI's taxonomy places the organism in Eukaryota, Metazoa, Arthropoda, Insecta, Diptera, Psychodidae.